GGUCAUCUGGGAUACUCGUGAUGAAGUGGAUAAAUCCUUGAGCCUAUUUCUUUAUCCCGGGAGCGACCUUUUGGUUUUGUGUGCAUGACUGCUUCGGCGGUAAGCCUUAUAGACCAUAACAAGCACCCACUUGAACCUUUGGUUCAAGGCUGAAGUUUCACACGACUUCUUGGAGCCGU
This 179-nucleotide non-coding RNA is filed under the name Thiothrix sp. Its description in RNAcentral is "6S RNA". It matches the Rfam family "6S / SsrS RNA". From Rfam's summary of the family: E. coli 6S RNA was the first non coding RNA to be sequenced, but its function was unknown until recently. It consists of 184 nucleotides that fold into an extended hairpin structure with a large single-stranded internal bulge. The record is from RNAcentral. Lineage: Bacteria; Pseudomonadati; Pseudomonadota; Gammaproteobacteria; Thiotrichales; Thiotrichaceae.